Crocodylus porosus (Australian saltwater crocodile) is the source of this 5214-nucleotide long non-coding RNA. Ensembl lists it as uncharacterized. The record is from Ensembl. NCBI's taxonomy places the organism in Eukaryota, Metazoa, Chordata, Crocodylia, Crocodylidae.
GGGUGACACGGGGUCUGGCGGAAACGAAAGAGAAAGGGAGCGAGCAGAGCGGGGCGAGGGCCUGGCUGGGGUCUCUCGCUGUCUGCGCUGCAGAGUUGCCUGUCGCCCUUCUCUACGGGCCACAUCUAUACACAUAGAUCUGUUAGAGCUACAGGUUUUAUUAGAAACAUUUAGUAAUGGCAGAUCACCUUUGUCCACAAUUGUUUCUAACACCAUGACCCAGGAGGCUGUGGCCCAGGUGGCACUGAAGGCUGCACUGCUGCAGGUGCUGGGACAGCACCCUGUUGACUUGCCCCUGGGUGAUGUGGCUGGGGCCUUCCACCACCUGUAUGGCACCCAGCUGCAGUUCAGCUCCACUGAGGCUGGAGAACCCCUGCUGGGGACCAGAGCCACCUCCCCCAUGGAGAGUGAUGGGACCCCCAGCAACUCGGACAACAAGGAGGAGAAGAACAAGGGCACAGCCUUCCACCAGGCCGGCAUGCUCCUUGGCCAGGUCCUGCAGGGCUUCCCCUGUGGCAUGACCUUGCGCAGGUUGCACCACAUCCUACAGGCAGAGGGGAUCCUGCAGGACCUGCCCAGACACUGGGACUCCUUGGAGUUUGUCUACCUUCUAUUCCAUGUGCCGGGAAUCAAGCUGUGGGUACCCAAAAAUGGCACGGAGGUUGUGGCCUACCGGGCAGUGCCAGACCCUUCAGCAGUCCAGAGGCUGGUGCAUCUGAUCCUGGGAUAUUACGGGACGCCUGGGGGCUGCUGGACAGUGCCGGAGCUGGAGGGCUUCAUGGCGCAGACAUACGGGCUGGAUUUGGAGGGCUACAGCCAAGAGCAUGGCUACAGGGGGACUGUGGACUUCCUGCGCUCCAUGCCUGACCUCGCCCUGCAUACCCCACUCUGGGGGGGACCCUACAUCCUCCACCUCUAUGCAGGACCUACCUUGCCCCCCACACACAUGAUUCCACCACCCCUCAACACUGAGCCCCUGUGUGAGAUCCUGGCACCUUCAGACCCUCAGCCCUUUGAACCCCCUGUAUCAGCACAGCGCCUGGAGACCCUCUUCCUGAAGCACCUAGACCAAGGAGCAUUGGACAGGGUGCUGAGCCUGCUGCGGGAUGGGCUCAUGGAGCACCCAGGUGGCCUGGAACUGGGGGUGCUGAAGGAGGCCGUGAGGAGAGGCCUUGGUGUCGACCUUGAGGACCUGAGCUGGGACCUGGGCUACCGGGGCACCCUGGAGCUGCUAAGCAAUCUGCCAGGUGUUUGGGUCUGGGGGCCUGAGAAGGGGGACCACUGCAUCCUCCACAUGGAGCGAGGCCUGGAUGAGGUGCUAGCACUGCUGGCAGGAGGCCUGGUGGGGGCUCCAGCAGGUGCAGAGCUGUGUGAGCUGCAGGAGGCUGUGGGAAUGGAGCUUGGUGUCGACCUGGAGCAGCUGGGCCGGGACCUGGGCUAUGCCAGUGCCAAGGACUUCCUCACCCACGUGCCUGGCCUCCAGCUCCAGGCCCCUGAGAGGGGCAGCCACUGCAUAGUGCAACUGCAGAGAGAUUUCAUCUAUGACCCUGCAGUGGUGCAGAAAUAUUCCAGCCUGGACCCUAGCCAUGCAGGGCACAAGAGAAAGAAGCCAUGGCCUGGGCACCAGGAGCCCUGCUGUUGCUGCAGCCAGGGGACAGACAGUCACAGCAAUUGGGGUGACAUGGACUCUGGAGUCACCAUGGAUGUGCCCGUACCUCCUUGGGCCAAGCAUGCCCCCUGUGUUACCCAGCCUGCCUGCCUGGAUCCUGUGGAGACCACCCAGCUGGCAAAACCAAAGCCAGGCUUGGACCAGUUCUCAGCGGCCAUCCUGGAAUGUCUCCAUGGCUACAGCAGUGGCCUGCGAAUGGAGACACUGAAGAAGAUGCUAUGCCAAAGACAGGCCAUGGACCUGGAGGAUUUUGUGAAAUAUGGCGGGUAUGGGAACACUGUGGAGCUGCUGCAGCAAGUGCCUGAGGUCCAGCUCAUCUUCCCUGAGAGAGGGGAAAAGUGCCUGGUCAGACUGAAAACAGACCUGGAUAUGUUGGAGGGGCUGAUCCAAGAUAUUCUGACACCCUUUCCCAGUGGUCUGCGGCUCAAGAAGCUGAAGGAGAUGCUGGUGAAGAAGCAUGGGACUGACCUGGAGUCCUGGAGUCAAGGCGCAGGCUACAGGGACGUGAUCUCCUGUCUGAAGAACAUGCCAGGGCUCAGACUCCAUGGCUCCGGGAGAAGCAACAACUGCCUGGUCCAAAUCCAGAACCAGGCAGGAAGCCCCAUCCUCCAGCUCAUGGUAAAGUCUAAGAGGAAGAAGCCACAAGGGAAUCAAGAAGAUUCUGGACUGUUACCUGGUGGCAGUGCCAAACCCUUGUCCAGCCCCAAGGGGCACCUAUCCAAUGCUGCUUCUCCAGCACCCCCUGACAACUGCUGGUUCAAGUCUCAGCUACCCAGUACCACCACCACCAAAUCCCUGGCCCAAAUCCCUGGUGCCCCUGCUGUGCAGAGCAUGCUGAGUCAGCACCUCCAACCUAAUGCCCAUUUGCCAGGCUGGCUCAUGAACUCACCCCAGCCAGCUGGCAGCCGCUUAGGCCUGCACAUGGGCAAGGAUACCCAAGGGCCUGGCCCUCAGCUGGACAGUGCUUCCUCAGGCUUUGAAGUGAACAAGGAAACCCCAGUAGGUAGGACCCAGCUGGACAGCCCUCCCCAGAAUCCAUGGGCACACAAGGAGUCCCCAGGGCCUGGUGCACUGUUAGUCAGUGCACCCUCAGUCCUGAGAAUGAAUAAAGGGACACAGUGGUCCAGCACCCAGCUUGAUACCAUUCCUUCAGGCCCAAAGACUGGAAAGGAAACUCAGGGGCCAACCACUCAGCUGUAUCGUGCCCCUUGGGGCCCUUGGGUAAAGGACGAAACCCAGGAACAAAGGGCCCAACUGGAUACCACCCCAUUGGGCCUAUGGCCAGUGGAAGAGACCAAGGUGCUUAGGACCCAGCCAGCCAGAGCAGACGUGCCUAGAGCCAGCCCAGGCUGUACCCCAUCCACCCAGCCCCCCGAAGACCUGGCAGACCUGAAGCAGAAUGUGGCCACCAUCCUGGCCCAGCAUCCCCAGGGCAUAUCUGUCUUCCAGUUCCGGGCAGCCUACAGUGCCACUUACCAUCACCCGCUGCCCUUGGGUCCCGCGGCCUCAGCCAAGCAGCGGCUGGCAGAAAUGCCUGAUGUGGUGAGGAUCCAAGGAUAUGGAGUCCAGACACUGCUGCUGCCUGUCUCUAACAGCAACCCCACAGGCGAUGAUCCUGGUUGCACCCUCUUGAUCGCAGAAGAACCUGCUGAUCCUGUUGGAGACCCUGACAGACUGGCUGAGCCCCCACCUGUCCUGGCCCCACAACCCUCAGCAGGCCCACGGGGGCCUGAGUCUCCACCUGCCCCCAGGGCCCUGCCACCCACUCAGGCUGUGAAGCCCAAAGCUGCCCUCAAGGAGCCUGAUCUGAUGCCCAGUGCUCCUGUGAUUACCACGGAGAUGGAGCCCAGCAGCAGCUCAUGGACCCCAGUCCAGCCUGAACUUCUCCCUGUCGUGGAUGAUGCCAGCUCAGCUUCUCAUCCAGUUGUGUACCCUCCACUCCAGCAGAUCCCAUUACCUGAUCCCAGCCCACUGCCUUCAUCCCUGCAGCCAGCCAAAGAUGUGGGAGCACAGAUCCCUCAAGCCCAGGCCAAGCCAGUCCAGCCUGUGUCUCCCACCCAAGGCCUCCCCCAUCCGUCUCCCAGGGCAGGUCCAGUCUCUAGAGUCUCAGAGUGGUACCAGGACCCUGUGGGCUUCCUUUUGGAUCCCAGCCCUGAUGUUUGGCCUUCCACUGAGGACAUUACCACCCCACUGACUAUUGCAGCCCCAAGAGCGGAGGUCAGCCCCCUCCCUACACCAUACGCCGACACCUUGAGAGCCCUGACGUCAUACGUACGCCCCAGGGAAAUCUGGCUGGAGAACAGGCUGCCUGGCCUGGCAGCGGUAAACAAUUCUUCAGAAGACUUUCUGGACCCCGCUGCACCCACUGCUUCUCCUCAGCCCUCCCCCACACUCAGCAAUGCUGAGAAUGACACACACAAGACACGCUGUUCCAUCAUAGGAUGGGAUAUGCCUGAGGUUUUCCCAUGUCCCUCUUGGACAGACACAGAGGCCCCGCAACAGCCAUCUCAGCCACACAGCUCUGACCGCUGCAUCAUUCUCUAGUGCUGCUAUCACCCAGCAGCAAACCAGAGCCAUCAAUAUACAUGGAGCUCUGAAGUAGAGCACACCUGGUCAUGUAACAACACUCAGGGAUACGGUUUUGCUGUCUGGACAGUAAAGGACUUGAUGAAAGACGUUUCUGUUAUAUGCAACGCUUCCAGAGAUGGGGACGUCUUCUGCUCCAGCAUCUCAAAGAUUGGAUAUAUGCCUGACCCCCUAAGGGACGUAUGUGUAUCCUCACCCUGGAGAAGUUCCUUUGUGUGAUACUAUGAAGAUCCUUCAAGAGAGCUGGAAACUUUGGGCCUGGAACUUUUAAGAAACGGCUACUAAUUUUUAUUUUAUGUGGGAUGGGAGCUAGUGGGAAAGAGCAGGGUGUUCUCCAAUUCAGAACCCACCUGAAAAUGGGAAUUAUGUGGCCUUUAUCCAGUCACUAAAAGUUGGUACCCAAGGGCUGAAAACAGCCAUCUGCAGAAGUGGUUUUUCAUCUUCAUUUCUUUAAAUGAAAUCCUACUACAGUAGGAUAUUUUUUACUAUAUAGGUUUGAUUUGGAUCAAUAAUUCUAUGUGCAUCUUCACUACCUGGCUCUUCACAGAAGUGAUUUGGGAAUGCUUUAGGAGGCAGAUCAUGGACUGAGACCCCCAAAUUGCAAGGUGUUAUACAGGCAGAGCAGAAACACAGUCUCUUCCUCAAAGGGUUUAUAGUCUGAAUGAAAGACCAGGCCCAGCAGAAGGCUAUAAGUCACCCCUAGGAUACAAGGACACUGCAGGGAUUUCUGUGACAAAUAAGCCCGGUUAAAUGGAGCUGAUGGGAACACUUUGAUAAAAAGUCUUCUGUGGUAAAUGAAAGAUAUUUUUAAGCGCCUAGAAAGGUCUCUGUCAACUUUGAAAUUCAAUAAGGGAAAAGGUGAAACAAAUUGUUCAAACCUUUGCUCAUGCUGGCACUGAUGAAAGGGAUUUUGUAUUUGUUUGGCCUUAAACAAUAAAAUAUUAACAAUGGAUAUUUCA